RNAcentral lists this ribosomal RNA (497 nucleotides) under uncultured bacterium. RNAcentral's name for it is "partial 16S ribosomal RNA". It matches the Rfam family "Bacterial small subunit ribosomal RNA", at positions 28 to 507 of the family's 1533-position model. The record is from RNAcentral.
GAUGAACGCUGGCGACGUGCCUAAUACAUGCAAGUCGAGCGAACAGACGAGGAGCUUGCUCCUCUGACGUUAUCGGCGGACGGGUGAGUAACACGUGGAUAACCUACCUAUAAGACUGGGAUAACUUCGGGAAACCGGAGCUAAUACCGGAUAAUAUAUUGACCCUCAUGGUUCACUAGUUAAAUACGGUUUUUCUGUCACUUAUAGAUUGAUCCGCGCCGCAUUAGCUAGUUGGUAAGGUAACGGCUUACCAAGGCGACGAUGCGUAGCCGACCUAAGAGGGUGAUCGGACACACUGGAACUGAGAAACGGUCCAGACUCCGACGGGAGGCAGCAGUAGGGAAUCUUACGCAAUGGGCGAAAGCCUGACGGAGCAAAGCCGCGGGAGUGAUGAAGGUCUUCGGAUCGUAAAACUCUGUUAUUAGGGAAGAACAAAUGUGUAAGUAACUAUGCACGUAUUGACGGUACCGAAUCAGAAAGCCACGGCUAACUACGUG